AAAGCAUUAGCUCCUGACUGUUAUGUAACACUGUUGAUUCAUAUUGUACUUGCAUCCUAAAAAUCCUGGAAUCAUUUCUAGACAAACUGCUGUCCAUUCAUAUCUCCCCUAUCUUGUUCUUACAGAGCUGAUUAAAAUAAACAAACAAAUAAAAUCCUAAAACUAUACAUAUCCUUAUCAAUUUCCAUCUUAUUACAUUUAAUUUUAUGGUUCUAGGACACAAGUAUCAUCAAAGAAAAUUUUAAUUAAAACUUAGUAAGCUUGGCUAAUGGAAUAAUGAAGUGUGGCUGACCUGUUGCAGUUUUUAAGAAAGAAGAGCUACUUUUUUCAAACAUCGAGAAGUAAAACUUCAAUAUAUCAUGAGAACACAUUCAGAUGUCUCCUAUCUACCCAGAACAUUCAGGACUUCCUAUACUGAUUACAUUUGCGCGUGGGCGCAUGAACCUUCAGGGAGAGGCUUUCUAGCCAUUGCUUCUCAAUAGAUGGUGGCAGAGAAAAGCAGAUGUCCCAGAAGAAACAAAACAGCUGAAACCAACAUAAGAUAUCAAAGAACUGCUUGACAAGUAUGAGACCAAGAAAGCCACCCAGAAAAAAGGAUGCAAGGAUAAUGGACAUGUGACAUCAGCAGAGUGAGGAUUUACCAAGUGCCAAGCACUAUGCUAAGCCCUGAGGAUACAAAAAGAGGCAAAACAUAAUAAUAGCAAGGAUUUGCAUAGAUGAGGAAACUGAGGUUGAGAAAUGUUAACUAUCCAGAAGUACAUGUCAAGAUUAGAACUCCAAUACUCUUUGAAUUGCAUCAAUGAACUGCCUCUUAAUAAGGGAAGCAUGAAAUGGUUGACCCGGUCAUGGACUUCUGCCUUUUGAACUCCAUUUUCCAAAGCAAGGAUCUCAGAAGUUUGGCAGCCCUUCCUUUGGGAAUAGAGAACAAGCAAAGUUCUCUCCACAGUGAAUGUUGACUACCCCCAACAAGGACCAGUGCCCUUGGAAUACCUAUUAUGUGCAGCUAGCUAAUUCCAGAUGUGGCCCUGGGAAGCCUGUUGACAUCUCCUGGGAGCCAAGCUACCCUCAGUCAGGUGGAAUUGACUGAUUCCCAGGUAGAAUCAGUGCAUAGGUUUGGGGGAGGGGUGUUGGAGACUUUCUAUUUCUAAGAAAUUUUUAUUAUAUUACUCAUCCACUUGUGCCAUGUGUGUGCCUUCUUCAUGUCAAUAUAAGUGGAACAGAGAAUCAAUUAAAAAUACUUUUAAUUUAUUCAGGUUUCAUGUGGGAAUCUCGAAGAUUUUUAUAAAGACAUUAAAUUCUAUGUUAUCAGUAAUUCUUUUUACUGGUGCUUUGAGAUGCUUAAAGUUUGAUGACUGAUAUUCAUAAUGAUGACCCAAAGGCCCUGUAAGAUCAUGAUGCCCUUUCUUAAUAAUAUCACAGUUAAAACUGCAUUCAAUAUAGUUUUAUUGCUAACUUUAUUUAAUUAAUUCUCAAAAUUAUUCUGAAUCUACCUCUGGCACAGUACAUAUGGUAACUAUUGGCCAGGGAAUCUGAUUCAUCAAAAAGAACACUUCUUUUUCAAUUCGACCAGAUAGCAGGGAUUUUACUGUAUAGGGAAGUAAAUAUUCAUUGUACCAUAUAUAAUAUUAAAUUAUUGAUAAUAAAUAUGACAACACAUAAGCAUUCAACUGAUUAAAUUUCAAUGAAUAAAUUGAAAUAAAUAAUACUCAUCAGCUAGAAUAUGAUUUUUAUUGUAUGUUCUAUGAUCAAAAGCCUGGUAAUAAAUUAGACUAGUCAUGCACUGCACUUCCAGAAAAGAAGACCCAAUAUCUUUGAAAAUAUGUGAUCUCUAUUUAUAAAAGUCACUCGUCCUUCUCUUGGCAGACCUCAAAGUCCAGCCUGCCAAGAAAAAAUAAUAAUAUAUCUGAUGUAGAUUAAGAUUUUCAAACUUUAAGUAUCAGUCUCUUAGCAAC
Molecule: long non-coding RNA, 1952 nt
Organism: Sarcophilus harrisii (Tasmanian devil)
Lineage: Eukaryota; Metazoa; Chordata; Mammalia; Dasyuromorphia; Dasyuridae
Source: Ensembl